CGGCAAGCGGCAGAUGGUCGGUCCCUUCAUCUUCUUCGAUCACUUCGGACCGGUGCAGUUCGUCGCCGGUAAGGGCAUGGAUGUGCGCCCGCAUCCGCAUAUCGGGCUCGCCACCGUCACCUAUCUGUUCGACGGCAGCAUCAUGCACCGCGACAGCGAGGGCAACAUCCAGGAAAUCCAGCCCGGCGCCAUGAACNGAUGACCGCCGGUCGCGGCAUCGCACAUUCGGAGCGCACGCCGGAUGUGCAGCGUGCCAACGGCCAGCAGAUGCUCGGCCUGCAAAGCUGGAUCGCGCUGCCUGCGGGCAAGGAAGAGAUCGCGCCGUCGUUCNUCCAGCAUUUCGCUGCCGCCACGCUGCCGGAAGUCCACGACACCGGCUUCAAGGCGCG
This 389-nucleotide unclassified non-coding RNA is filed under the name Hevea brasiliensis (rubber tree). The record is from RNAcentral. Lineage: Eukaryota; Viridiplantae; Streptophyta; Magnoliopsida; Malpighiales; Euphorbiaceae.